UACGUAGGUGGCAAGCGUUGUCCGGAAUUAUUGGGCGUAAAGCGCGCGCAGGCGGCCUCUUAAGUCUGAUGUGAAAGCCCCCGGCUCAACCGGGGAGGGCCAUUGGAAACUGGCGGGCUUGAGUGCGGGAGAGGAGAGUGGAAUUCCUGGUGUAGCGGUGAAAUGCGUAGAUAUCAGGAGGAACACCGGUGGUGAAGACGGCUCUCUGGUCUGCAACUGACGCUGAGGUGCGAAAGCGUGGGGAUCAAACAGG
This 253-nucleotide unclassified non-coding RNA is filed under the name uncultured Caryophanales bacterium. Its description in RNAcentral is "uncultured Bacillales bacterium contains 16S-23S intergenic spacer region". It matches the Rfam family "Bacterial small subunit ribosomal RNA", at positions 524 to 776 of the family's 1533-position model. Lineage: Bacteria; Bacillati; Bacillota; Bacilli; Caryophanales. The record is from RNAcentral.